GUUAUAAGUUAGAUGUAAUUUUCGGAGAUGUAAAUUUAUGUCAGUUGCAUUUAUAACAGAUGUAACUUUACAUCUAUUAUAGCAACAACAUAUGUAACAUUUUUUUUUUCUCAUAUCUACAUGAAAUUUUUUCUUUUUCUCCUUUUUUGUUGUUGUCGUCUUCUUCUUCUUCUUCUCAUUGUUCUCUUUUUCCUCCUUGUCCUUUCUUUUCUUCUUUUUCUCCUUCUCCUUCUUCUCAUCCUCCUUCUCCUUCUUCUUCUUUUUUUUCCUCCUCUUCUUCCUUCUUCUUCCUUCUUCUUCCUUUUCUCCUUCUCCUUCUUCUUCUCUUCCUCCUCCUUCUUCAUCUAAUAAGCUAACAAGUCAAAAUCAUGCUUCAUCACGCAGCAAAGGAAGAAAAUCAGAACAAUGAUUGUUCAUGUUUCAUCAUGCACAUGUCAAUAAUGCAAAGGGAGAAAAUCAGAAAAAUGAAGUAAUGUUCAUGCUUCAUCAUGCAUGGACCAUGAUAAAUGGAGAAGAUGAGGAAAACCAACUUUAAUGUCGAAAUAAUCGGGGAAGGAGGUUUCUCGAUGCACUGCCCACAACAAACAAAGAAAACACAAGCUUCAAGCACCAAUGAAGGUCAUAUAGUGGUCAAAAUCACAAUGCCAUCAAGAGCAAUUUGCGUUGCACUUCUAUCCGCAUACUGUGUAGGAAAAAGUGAAAAUGAAAAUGAAAGUAAAAAAUCAUCGCGCAUUUUUCAUGUUUGAUAACUACUUGUUGGACAUAAAUUGGAUAACAUAAUAAGCCUAU
Molecule: long non-coding RNA, 789 nt
Filed under: Vigna radiata
Lineage: Eukaryota; Viridiplantae; Streptophyta; Magnoliopsida; Fabales; Fabaceae
Description: long non-coding RNA (VRAD_LNC003730)
Source: RNAcentral